CCUACGGGAGGCUGCAGUGGGGAAUAUUGCGCAAUGGGCGAAAGCCUGACGCAGCGACGCCGCGUGAGGGAUGAAGGUCUUCGGAUCGUACACCUCUGUCAGCAGGGAAGAACGGUCACUGUGCUAAUCAGCAGUGAAUUGACGGUACCUGCAAAGGAAGCACCGGCUAACUCCGUGCCAGCAGCCGAGGUAAUACGGAGGGUGCGCGCGUUAAUCGUAAUUACUGGGCGUAAAGCGCUCGUAGGCGGUAGGUCAAGUCAAGGGUGAAAUCCCCGCGCUCAACGUGGGAACUGCCUUUGAAACUGGCAAACUGGAGUGUGUGAGAGGAUAGUGGAAUUCCAGGUGUAGGAGUGAAAUCCGUAGAGAUCUGGAGGAACAUCAGUGGCGAAGGCGACUAUCUGGCACAUAACUGACGCUGAGGAGCGAAAGCGUGGGUAGCAAACAGGAUUAGAUACCCCAGUAGUC
Molecule: ribosomal RNA, 465 nt
Filed under: uncultured bacterium
Lineage: Bacteria
Description: partial 16S ribosomal RNA
Rfam family: Bacterial small subunit ribosomal RNA
Source: RNAcentral